GAAGGCUGAAUUUUGUCUACCCGAACAGAAUAUAGAAGAAAUUGGCCAACCAGUGUGCGCGGGGUGGAAUCAGAAAUGCUCAUAGGAGCUGUCUSAGUCCACGGGGCGCAAACACGUGCCGAAAUGCAGCGCCGGAUCGGUUGCACAGGAUCGUCUUCCUGCCGUGACAUGUCAUUCCGAGAAGCCACAACACRCAGCAUGGAAACAACCAUGCAGAUCAAAGAAAAACAUGUCCGUCUUUUGCUGUUGCUGUCGCUCAGCUACUUCWGAAGAGCAGGAACCACUUCCCGUGCACGCAAGGCAGCCCUGCCGAAACAUCGGGGUCUUCAGUAAGGAGGGGACCCUCACAAUGAAGCUGGUAAACGUACUUGCCAUGGACACCCUGUUCUCAGAUAUCGCUCAAGCCUUCAACAAGCAGCACGAGGACCACUCUGCCAUGAAGAAGGCUGCCCAAAAGCUGAAGGAGCUUUCUGGCUGCGCUCCCACUGCUGGUCUUGCAGCCUGCGUAGAGCAGGCACAGCAGGAGCACGGUGCCCGCGAGGUGCAGGUGCACAUGGAGGGCUAUAGUUUUUCACUCAUUGUAAAGGAGAGGAAAGUGCCAGACAAACUGCAGCGGGUCCAGCAGCAGAUGGAGGAGCUGAGUAAUUCCACAAAACGUGUCCUUGCAACAGAAACUGCCCUGCAGGAAAUGAUCUGCUCAGUGCUUGAGAACCAGACUCAGCUGGCAGAGAGAAUCAAAUCUGCAAACCCAGAGUAUCUGGACCAGGUACGGCUAGAAGCUAAUCUAAGAGAGAACAUCCAAAAAAUCAGCCUGGCCAAGGAGCUCUCAGAGGAGUACAGCGAAGGGGCCAAGAGCAUUCUCCGGGAAAUGGCUCAGCUAGCUGGCUUGACGCUGUAAGGGGCUCCUGAAAUAGGGACAGGAUUGAUGUUAAUACCCUGUUGCACAUACAGAGCAAUAGCUUAGAGGAUGCCUGGGUGGUGUACUGACUUGGUGRUGUAGGUAAAGAGCCCUCAGCAAAUGGCUUAUGGGCAGCUCUGGGUCCCAAAUGUGUUUUAUCCAACGACAGGCAGAGGGAUGCAUCUGAGAAAAGGCUUUGAUUUUCACCUGAGCCAUUAUUACAGGUGGACAGAAAMUCACUGUUUCCAUGUAGUGCGUCAGAUCAGCCUAUCUGCAUUAAAGUAUGGCAAAACAAGGAGUACCUGACCAAAAUAAAGGCAACUUGGACUGGAAUUUGGUAAAAUUU
RNAcentral lists this long non-coding RNA (1244 nucleotides) under Dromaius novaehollandiae (emu). Its description in RNAcentral is "lncRNA (ENSDNVG00000012931.1)". Lineage: Eukaryota; Metazoa; Chordata; Aves; Casuariiformes; Dromaiidae. The record is from RNAcentral.